AUUGAACGCUGGCGGCAGGCCUAACACAUGCAAGUCGAGCGCGCGGCGGACGGGUGAGUAAUGUAUGGGAAACUGCCUGAUGGAGGGGGAUAAAUACUGGAAACGGUAGCUAAUACCGCAUACGCUCAGAUGUGCGCAGAUGGGAUUGGCUAGUAGGUGGGGUAACGGCUCACCGAGGCGACGAUCCCUAGCUGGUCUGAGAGGAUGACCAGCCACACUGGAACUGAGACACGGUCCAGACUCCUACGUGAGGCAGCAGUGGGGAAUAUUGCACAAUGGGCGCAAGCCUGAUGCAGCCAUGCCGCGUGGGUGAAGAAGGCCGUCGGGUUGUAAAGCACUUUCAGCGGGGAGGCGUUACCCGCAGAAGAAGCACCGGCUAACUCCGUGCCAGCAGCCGCGGUAAUAC
This 406-nucleotide ribosomal RNA is filed under the name uncultured bacterium. RNAcentral's name for it is "partial 16S ribosomal RNA". It matches the Rfam family "Bacterial small subunit ribosomal RNA", at positions 29 to 526 of the family's 1533-position model. The record is from RNAcentral.